UAUUGGUCAAUGGUCGGGAGACUGAACCAGCCAAGCCGCGUGAGGGAGGAAGGUACAGAGUAUCGUAAACCUCUUUUGUCAGGGAACAUAGGCGGGGAUGUGUCCCCGGAGGAGUGUACCUGAAGACAAAGCAUCGGCUAACUCCGUGCCAGCAGCCGCGGUAAUACGGAGGACGCGGGCGUUAUCCGGAUUUAUUGGGUUUAAAGGGUGCGCAGGCGGUCUGUUAAGUCAGCGGUCAAAGCCCGGGGCUCAACCCCGGCCCGCCGUUGAAACUGGCAGUCUCGAGUUGGAGAGAAGUAUGCGGAAUGCGCGGUGUAGCGGUGAAAUGCAUAGAUAUCGCGCAGAACCCCGAUUGCGAAGGCAGCAUGCCGGCUCCACACUGACGCUGAGGCACGAAAGCGUGGGUAUCGAACAGG
This 416-nucleotide ribosomal RNA is filed under the name uncultured bacterium. RNAcentral describes it as "bacterial SSU rRNA". It matches the Rfam family "Bacterial small subunit ribosomal RNA", at positions 362 to 776 of the family's 1533-position model. The record is from RNAcentral.